AGUAGCGCGAUUCUGUAACUCGUUAUGCUGUCGUUAUGGACUCAUAACGACAAGUUUCGUUAUGCUACCGACCGCGUCGCUAUUAUAACGACAAAUGCGAUUCUGUACACUAUUCUUAGCGAGUUUUGUCGUUAUUAGUAACGAAAAGUGUCGUUAUGAUGUCGUUACGGUGCGAGCGGAUAGCGAGGCUCAGAGACCCCCUCGGUACGCUAUAACGACCAUUAUAACGACACUUUGCACACGAGCUAGAGGAGUGGUGUGCGUUUCCCAUAUUUUUCUCGACUCCGAGAAAGUGCUUCGAAAAGUGCUCCGAAAGUGAAAAAUAAUUACGACGUUUGAAAUAACAAGUAAGAUCAUGGCUAUCGAAUACCUUGCUUGGGAUGUAUUCGUUCUUGAGGAAAGAUUACGUCGACUCGAACGUCGUGUGGAAAGAAGGCGACUGAGAGAUGCUCAGAAUCCUUUUCAGCUACCACGAGAAGAGUUUCUCAGCCUUUUUCGCCUGCCUCAAGAAGCUGUGAUGAAUCUUGGUUAACACCUCAGCAAAGCAGCAUAGGUGAUGCUGGAUAUCCGUUGGAGCCUUGGCUGUUAACACCUCUGGCCAAUUUUCCUGAAGAUACGCGACAACAUCAAUAUACACAACAACUAUGUAAGGCUAGAAGCGUCGUCGAGCGGUUUUUUGGAGUUUUUAAAUCUGUAUGGAGAUGCUUGUCAUACCAGCGAGUCUUGAUGUACGAACCAGCGUUUGCAGCGAAAAUUGUUAAUGC
This 764-nucleotide long non-coding RNA is filed under the name Neodiprion lecontei (redheaded pine sawfly). RNAcentral describes it as "uncharacterized LOC124292755, transcript variant X2". The record is from RNAcentral. Lineage: Eukaryota; Metazoa; Arthropoda; Insecta; Hymenoptera; Diprionidae.